Meriones unguiculatus (Mongolian gerbil) is the source of this 405-nucleotide long non-coding RNA. RefSeq lists it as uncharacterized. NCBI's taxonomy places the organism in Eukaryota, Metazoa, Chordata, Mammalia, Rodentia, Muridae. The record is from RefSeq and is a predicted model, not a curated record. The transcript has 3 exons.
ACUCCACUGAUACCUUGGAGAUUAUCUGUUCACGGAAUCUGGAAAUGUCACGCACCACCUUUCUGCGAACAGCUUAAAGAAAACGAUCUUGUUUCCCUUAACUUUUCAUCGCUGGACGGACUCCUUUCUAGGCAUCCAUGGAAGACUCUAUACCUUAAUUUCAUAACCUGGCUCUAUACAUGUAAAGAGCUGAGGAAACAUAUUUUCUCCACCAACACAUCAUUUUGUGUACACCUUUGUAGAAGGCUGAACCAACAGUGAUCCAUGAUUCACCAAACUCUAGCUAAUUUUUCAUUGUGAAUCUCUGCUUCGGUUUCCAUCAAUUGCUGGAUGGAGCUUCUCUGAAGAUGAAUAUGUAAGGCUCCUGUCUAUGAGCAUAGCAGAAUAUAAUUAGGAAUCAUUUCU